AAGAGACAGCAGCCGCCGCGGGAAUACGAAGGGGGCUAGCGUUGCUCGGAAUUACUGGGCGUAAAGGGAGCGUAGGCGGACAUUUAAGUCAGGGGUGAAAUCCCAGAGCUCAACUCUGGAACUGCCUUUGAUACUGGGUGUCUUGAGUGUGAUAGAGGUAUGUGGAACUCCGAGUGUAGAGGUGAAAUUCGUAGAUAUUCGGAAGAACACCAGUGGCGAAGGCGACAUACUGGAUCAUUACUGACGCUGAGGCUCGAAAGCGUGGGGAGCAAACAGGAUUAGAUACCCCAGUAGUCCCUGUCUCUUAUAC
Molecule: ribosomal RNA, 310 nt
Filed under: uncultured bacterium
Lineage: Bacteria
Description: partial 16S ribosomal RNA
Rfam family: Bacterial small subunit ribosomal RNA
Source: RNAcentral